UUGAGUGGGGACUCUCUGUGGUUUCCCUUUUGACCCAUCCCAAGCUACGGUUUCCUGCCUUGUAUGAGCGCUGCUGCUGAGCUGAUCUAUUGGUGAGGCAAUUCGGAGGGCUGGUUGAGGGACUCUGGGUUAAAUUUCCUUUGUGUUCAUGACAAACCCGUAUAAACCAUGCUGCUACGGAACUGCAGCAUUUUUCACUAUAAUUCGACACUCUCGUUAUUCCAGAAAAACUCACCACUGCUGUAUCUCCACUUACUUUUUUUUUUUCCUGCUCUGUCCCACUUCCAUCAUGUGAUGCUGGACAUUGCCAACAGAUGACUAGAUUAAUUACCAGCACCUGAAAAAAGGGAAAAUAUCUAUUUUUAAAGAAGAUCCUGAAUUCAAAAGAUUUUUAAAAAAUGUGACUAUUUCUAGAAACAGAUGGACUCUUGGCAAGGAAUUUGCAGCAUAAAUUCUUUGGAUGCAAUAUAGGCAGGGAUUACCAAGGCUAGAAGUUUGGAAGACCAACAUGCUAGACCUUGCCUGAGUGUUCCCUGAAUCUGAAGACUUCUUUGUGCAAAGAAACCAACUGGCAUUACUUCUGUGGGAAAGGUGUUUUGUGAGGCAGUAGCUGUUUCGGAAGGGUAACUCCCCACUGUUGACACUGGCCUGUGAUG
Long non-coding RNA from Gymnogyps californianus (California condor), 656 nucleotides. RefSeq lists it as uncharacterized. The transcript is spliced from 4 exons. Lineage: Eukaryota; Metazoa; Chordata; Aves; Accipitriformes; Cathartidae. The record is from RefSeq and is a predicted model, not a curated record.